Molecule: ribosomal RNA, 382 nt
Filed under: uncultured eukaryote
Lineage: Eukaryota
Description: partial 18S ribosomal RNA
Rfam family: Eukaryotic small subunit ribosomal RNA
Source: RNAcentral
AGUAAGCGUAUACCAAAGUUGUUGCAGUUAAAACGCUCGUAGUCGGAAUUUGGCAGUUCCGGAUGUGUGCACGUCGUGUGCGCACUUCGCGGGGAUUGCUUUUGUGGUCUUGCGUAGGAUGAGGCACUUUUAUUAGUGAACGUCCUCACGCAACCACUUUUUACUGUGAGAAAAUCAGAGUGCUCAAAGCAGGCAUUUGCCAUGAAUGUAUUAGCAUGGAAUAAUAGAAUAGGACUUGGUUCUAUUUUGUUGGUUUGUUGGGACUGAGUAAUGAUUAAGAGGGACAGUUGGGGGCAUUUGUAUUUCGGUGCUAGAGGUGAAAUUCUUAGAUUACCGAAAGACAAACUGCUGCGAAAGCGUCUGCCAAGGAUGUUUUCAUUGA